Molecule: long non-coding RNA, 509 nt
Organism: Stegodyphus dumicola
Lineage: Eukaryota; Metazoa; Arthropoda; Arachnida; Araneae; Eresidae
Source: RefSeq, a predicted model, not a curated record
UAACAACCUGCUGUCCAGAGAAAUGGGUUCUGAUUGCAGGCAGUUCAGACGUUUGAAAUUCUACUAUAAUUCCUCGGAGGAAGUAUAAUUUUAUACAGGAGGCUGCUGAGGAAAUAUCAGUUUAAAUUCCAUAUCAAGAGAUGCGACUUCAUUUGCUGAAUUUUGAAUACAAGUUCAAUAUUUUUUGAAUGAACUGAGAAGAGACUGUAUAGCUUUCGAAUUUUCUUGCUGACAACUUGAUUGACUUGGAUUUUGCUGACGUUAUGAAUAAUUUCUGUUGUUGUUCUACCAAAAAUGAAUACUAUAUAUUCUAUGUUUUUGACGGGGAAAAUUUAGCAUUUUUUAAACAUUAUUUAUGCCCACCUGCUACCACCAACUAAUGCCCACCUGCAUUAUCUCUCUAAUCAACAAUAUUUCUGAAGCAAAAGCAUACGUGCAGUAUUUUUUAAUAGAUUUGACUUUAUUUGCAGAUGAAUCUAAUCCUAUUUAAUUUUAUUUUAGACACUAGA